This 74-nucleotide transfer RNA is filed under the name Acidimicrobiales bacterium. Its description in RNAcentral is "tRNA-Arg". It matches the Rfam family "tRNA". From Rfam's summary of the family: Transfer RNA (tRNA) molecules are approximately 80 nucleotides in length. Their secondary structure includes four short double-helical elements and three loops (D, anti-codon, and T loops). Further hydrogen bonds mediate the characteristic L-shaped molecular structure. tRNAs have two regions of fundamental functional importance: the anti-codon, which is responsible for specific mRNA codon recognition, and the 3' end, to which the tRNAs corresponding amino acid is attached (by aminoacyl-tRNA synthetases). tRNAs cope with the degeneracy of the genetic code in two manners: having more than one tRNA (with a specific anti-codon) for a particular amino acid; and 'wobble' base-pairing, i.e. permitting non-standard base-pairing at the 3rd anti-codon position. Lineage: Bacteria; Bacillati; Actinomycetota; Acidimicrobiia; Acidimicrobiales. The record is from RNAcentral.
GCCCUCGUAGCUCAGUUGGAUAGAGCGACCGCCUCCUAAGUGGUAGGCCGCAGGUUCGAUUCCUGCCGAGGGCG